GCCCUACCGGCUGGAGAAGACGCUGGGCAAGGGGCAGACAGGCCUGGUGAAGCUGGGGGUUCACUGUGUCACCUGCCAGAAAGUGGCCAUCAAGAUUGUCAACCGUGAGAAGCUCAGCGAGUCUGUGCUGAUGAAGGUGGAGCGAGAGAUUGCCAUCCUGAAGCUCAUCGAGCACCCCCACGUCCUCAAGCUGCACGACGUUUACGAAAACAAAAAAUAUUUAUACUUGGUGCUAGAACACGUGUCAGGCGGGGAGCUCUUCGACUACCUGGUGAAGAAGGGGAGGCUGACCCCCAAGGAGGCCCGAAAGUUCUUCCGGCAGAUCAUCUCAGCGCUGGACUUCUGCCACAGCCACUCCAUAUGCCACAGGGAUCUGAAACCCGAAAACCUCCUGCUGGACGAGAAGAACAACAUCCGGAUCGCGGACUUCGGCAUGGCAUCCCUGCAGGUUGGCGACAGCCUGUUGGAGACCAGCUGCGGGUCCCCCCACUACGCCUGCCCCGAGGUGAUCCGGGGGGAGAAGUAUGACGGCCGGAAGGCGGACGUGUGGAGCUGCGGCGUCAUCCUUUUCGCCUUGCUGGUGGGGGCCCUGCCCUUCGAUGACGACAACCUACGGCAGCUGCUGGAGAAGGUGAAGCGGGGUGUGUUCCACAUGCCACACUUCAUCCCGCCUGACUGCCAGAGCCUGCUGCGGGGCAUGAUCGAGGUGGAUGCCGCGCGCCGCCUGACGCUAGAGCACAUUCAGAAACACAUAUGGUAUAUAGGGGGCAAGAACGAACCGGAGCCGGAGCAGCCCAUUCCCCGCAAGGUCCAGAUCCGCUCGCUGCCCAGCCUGGAGGACAUCGACCCCGACGUGCUGGACAGCAUGCAUUCCCUGGGCUGCUUCCGAGACCGCAACAAACUGCUGCAGGACCUGCUGUCGGAGGAGGAGAACCAGGAGAAGAUGAUUUACUUCCUCCUACUGGACCGGAAAGAAAGGUACCCGAGCCAGGAGGAUGAGGACCUGCCCCCCAGGAAUGAGAUAGACCCUCCCCGGAAGCGUGUGGACUCCCCGAUGCUGAACCGCCAUGGCAAGCGGCGGCCGGAGCGCAAGUCCAUGGAGGUGCUCAGCGUGACAGACGGCGGCUCCCCGGUGCCUGCGCGGCGCGCCAUUGAGAUGGCCCAGCACAGCCAGAGUAAAGCAAUGUUCAGUAAAAGCCUGGAUAUCGCUGAGGCCCAUCCCCAAUUCAGCAAAGAAGACAGGUCUCGGUCCAUCAGCGGUGCCUCCUCAGGCCUUUCCACCAGCCCACUCAGCAGCCCCCGGGUGACCCCUCACCCCUCACCGAGGGGCAGUCCCCUCCCCACCCCCAAGGGGACACCUGUCCACACGCCAAAGGAGAGCCCGGCUGGCACGCCCAACCCCACGCCACCAUCCAGCCCCAGCGUCGGAGGGGUGCCAUGGAGGGCGAGGCUCAAUUCCAUCAAGAACAGCUUCCUGGGCUCACCCCGCUUCCACCGCCGGAAACUGCAAGUUCCAACGCCGGAGGAGAUGUCCAACCUGACCCCAGAGUCAUCCCCAGAGCUGGCCAAGAAGUCCUGGUUUGGGAACUUCAUCAGCCUGGAGAAGGAGGAGCAGGUCUUCGUGGUCAUCAAAGACAAGCCUCUGAGCUCCAUCAAGGCUGACAUCGUGCACGCCUUCCUGUCGAUCCCCAGCCUCAGCCACAGUGUCAUCUCCCAGACGAGCUUCCGGGCCGAGUACAAGGCCACGGGGGGGCCCGCCGUGUUCCAGAAGCCGGUCAAGUUCCAGGUGGAUAUCACCUACACGGAGGGCGGGGAGGCGCAGAAGGAGAACGGCAUCUACUCUGUCACCUUCACCCUGCUUUCAGGCCCCAGCCGCCGCUUCAAGAGGGUGGUGGAGACCAUCCAGACCCAGCUGCUGAGCACACAUGACCCACCCUCCGCCCAGCACUUGUCAGAACCCCCCCCGCCAGCGCCAGGACUAAGCUGGGGCGCUGGGCUUAAGGGCCAGAAGGUGGCCACCAGCUACGAGAGUAGCCUCUGACGCUGGCAGACACCACUAACUGUAUGGAAAUGAUGACGGGGCGGCUUUCCAAAUGUGGAAUUAUCCCGAAAAGUUAACAUGUCACCUCCACGAGGCCAUCCUCUGUGACCGAAGGCAGCUGCUGCGGACCCGCCCUCCCUCCGCUCCUGCUGUUGCUGCCGGGCAGCGAGGCCCAGCCCAGCGCCCCGUCCACCCCGAGGCAGCUCCUCGCCUCAGCUCCGCACGGCCCAUGGUAGGAGGGCCAGGCUCGGGGGAGCCUCCUCCAGCCCGGCCAGACUCCUGGUCACCCAGUCACCUGACCCCUCAGCAAGAACAGCCUGCCUGGAAGCCUUUUGGGGCCGGGACCCCCCGGCGGGCAAAGUAGCUGCAGGAACAGACCCGUCCGCCGCCUCCACGCCGCACUCGGAGGCCGCCUCACGCCUCCCUGGCUGCGCCGCCUCCUAUAGUCUUGGCCUCCCCGGGCUGCCUCCCGUCCUCCCGUCUCACCCAUGCCUCCGUCGCCUCCUCUGGGGCGGCCGUGGGCUCUGGCGCUCCUCCCUGGCUGAGGUGGAAACAGAGAGACCGUGGGGCGUCAGAGCCUUCCUGGCCGGCCAGGCCGCUGGGCUGGGAUCAGUGUUAUUUAUUUGCUGUUUUAAUUUAUGGAGUCUCUACACCUCUGUUCAGGGAAGGGCGGCAGCCGCAUCCCCUGCCGUCUGCGCGUCUCGGGCAGUGGGGGGUCCAGGGCCCGGGCGCCCUCUGAGGACAAGAGCCGGCGGGGUGCGGGGGGCUGGCGAGCUACUGUAAACUUUAAAGAAUUCCUGCAAGAUAUUUUUAUAAACUUUUUUUUCUUGGUGGUUUUUGGAAAAGGGUGUGGGGGUGGGGCGCCGCAGGGGCAGGGCCAGGGCAGGGCAGGGCCAGGUUUUGUUUCAGCUCAGGCUCCCAGUUUUUGCACACUCAUCUAGCUAAAGAUGGCGCGGUUCGAUCUGUCCUGGGUUCUGCUUCUCAACGUGGAGAGGCGGCUCCACCUCGGGGGGGGCUCAGGGCAUCUCACGGCGGGCGGCAGUGCCCAUGCCCUCGUCAAGACCCAGGCUGGGACAGUCUCGGCUUUGUGUCCAAGGGUGAAGGAGUAGGAGAAAGGCCCUCAAGGGCCCUCCCCACGCACAGGGCAGCAGGGGCGCCGGGGGCUUUUCUUAUUAAAACGAAAAAAAGUUGAAAGCAACCGAAGGACAGAAAGGGCCAGUGGCGCUCCUCUGCAGGGUGUUCUGUGCAGUGCAGGGGGGUGGGGGCUGCAGGCCCGUCCCGCUCGGUGCCUGCCACCCUCGCUUCACCCCAGCUCAGGCUUCUGUGUUCCCGUGUGCCUGGCUCCCCAGGUGGGCACAGUGCCCGGGUGCAGCGGCUGGGAGGGCGGUGGCGUUCUGAUGCAUGCCUUUGCCACAGGGUCCAUCUGCUUCGGUGCCCCUGCCUCGCAUCCACCUCAUGUAUCAAUUUUAACGCUUCUGUUAACAUCAGACCUCUGCCACAGGCUGGGAUUUCUACACAUAAGAACAAAGUCAUAUAGGACAGCAAACGCCAGGCGGCACAGGCGGAAAGGGCUCUCCACGGAGACAAGGACACGAAGCAGAGCCUCUCGCCCGCCUUCUGCCUCUGUGCUUCGGACACAUGCGGACUCCAGCAGGCACCACGGAAACGGGCACGCGCCUGCAGUGUACCCCUGUCACAUACUGUGAGCAGCCACAGCUCCGGAACAAUAAAUCCCUUGCGCAAAGACA
RNA transcript from Sapajus apella (tufted capuchin), 3789 nucleotides. It is a transcript of the gene named BR serine/threonine kinase 2, with no coding region annotated. NCBI's taxonomy places the organism in Eukaryota, Metazoa, Chordata, Mammalia, Primates, Cebidae. The transcript has 22 exons. The record is from RefSeq and is a predicted model, not a curated record.